Molecule: ribosomal RNA, 874 nt
Filed under: uncultured bacterium
Lineage: Bacteria
Description: bacterial SSU rRNA
Rfam family: Bacterial small subunit ribosomal RNA
Source: RNAcentral
AAGUCGAACGAGAGAUGAGGAGCUUGCUCUUCAAAUCGAGUGGCGAACGGGUGAGUAACGCGUGAGGAACCUGCCUCAAAGAGGGGGACAACAGUUGGAAACGACUGCUAAUACCGCAUAAGCCCACGGCUCGGCAUCGAGCAGAGGGAAAAGGAGCAAUCCGCUUUGAGAUGGCCUCGCGUCCGAUUAGCUAGUUGGUGAGGUAACGGCCCACCAAGGCGACGAUCGGUAGCCGGACUGAGAGGUUGAACGGCCACAUUGGGACUGAGACACGGCCCAGACUCCUACGGGAGGCAGCAGUGGGGAAUAUUGCACAAUGGGGGAAACCCUGAUGCAGCGACGCCGCGUAGAGGAAGAAGGUCUUCGGAUUGUAAACUCCUGUUGUUGAGGAAGAUAAUGACGGUACUCAACAAGGAAGUGACGGCUAACUACGUGCCAGCAGCCGCGGUAAAACGUAGGUCACAAGCGUUGUCCGGAAUUACUGGGUGUAAAGGGAGCGCAGGCGGGAGAACAAGUUGGAAGUGAAAUCCAUGGGCUCAACCCAUGAACUGCUUUCAAAACUGUUUUUCUUGAGUAGUGCAGAGGUAGGCGGAAUUCCCGGUGUAGCGGUGGAAUGCGUAGAUAUCGGGAGGAACACCAGUGGCGAAGGCGGCCUACUGGGCACCAACUGACGCUGAGGCUCGAAAGUGUGGGUAGCAAACAGGAUUAGAUACCCUGGUAGUCCACACCGUAAACGAUGAUUACUAGGUGUUGGAGGAUUGACCCCUUCAGUGCCGCAGUUAACACGAUAAGUAAUCCACCUGGGGAGUACGACCGCAAGGUUGAAACUCAAAGGAAUUGACGGGGGCCCGCACAAGCAGUGGAGUAUGUGGUU